ACGUUUUUUUGUGUGGGUUUUAUAGUUUUGGUGAUAUUAUGGGUCUUGGUGAGGGAUUGAAUUGGGUUCGAAGGUUUUUAUUUGUUGAGGGAGGCGGGGAGUGCACAGAGAGCUAGAGGUGUGUGAUUUGCAGAAAUAGGGACUUGAGGACGAGAGAAACAAAAUAGGAAGAAUGCAAGACAAAAACGGAUUGGAUUCUUUUGUGCUUAGAUGUUUUUUAAAUUGAUUUAGGCUUUUGUUUGGAGAAGACAACAGUUGUUGACACAGAGAGUUUGGUUCUUGGUGUCUGAGAGAGGGACCUGGAUUCUUCUUUAAAGAGCAAAGAGACCUUUGAGACGGGGAAUUGGGUUCGUGGUGUCUGAGAGAGAGAGUUGGGUUCCAGUUUUGUGCCCUUUUUUUACCUAUUUGUUUGCUCUUAGUUCGCAUUUAUCAUUUGUGUUUUCAAUUUUUUGUUUGUUUGAUCUCUUAUAUGAAUAUGUUUUGUUCUUUGUUUGCAAUCGUGAUUAUUAAAGUGAUGUGUGUUUGUGUUUGUCGCAGGUCUAAUGUAUUGGAAAUGCUUUGACUGAUCAGGGGAUGUAAGUGAUAAGGUAUAAUGCUAAUUUGGUUCUUGAAGACAAUUUGGAGAAAAUCUCUUUGGUAUGGCCUAUAAAGAUUUGGUCUUGUAUCAAUGAAUGAUCGACCAACAACAGCUGCCAAAUGGGUUUUUGAGACUGAUUGGCCAAAAGAAGCUGAUUCACUUGCGGUUUGGAAAUAGGAGGACUAAUUUCAACUCAAGUAAUGUGCUGAUUUACAAUGUGUCCGACGAUACAACUAUGGAACCAAUAACCUCAAAUAUGUUGUCAAGAGAAGUCGCAAUAUCUUCCACUACUGUGUCAUCUUCGACCUCAACACCUGAAACAAGCGGCCAAUAGUAUAAACAAAAGUGGGAAUCUGUGAGGAGAGCUUUUUUAUUGGCGGCAGACAAAGCGAGGCAGAGGAAAUUUCAGAAGCUGAUCCAAAAGAAUUUGAUGAGGUCCUUAUCAAGUCAUUUAAAAAAAAUCACCUCCGACUGCUACAAAAACAGAUGCCAUUGCUUAAAAAAAGGACUAGCUUGCUUUCUCAAUGGCAAUAGUGUUGCGCCAAGACUUUAGCUACUUUGCUCUAAAAUGUUUUGACUUUUGUUUAAUGGUUUGUAAAUAUCAUUUUUUGCUCAUAAGCAGACAAUAUUUUUUGCACCUCCAUACACCGGCAUUUCCUAAUUUUUUGUAUACAAAUGUUGGUUUAGCUUUCAGAGCACAUAGGGCUAUUGAAGUAUAAUGUAUUGCUAUAACAUUUUUUGUAUAUGCAUAUGACAAUAUCCGCUAAUUUUUUGUAUCUGAAUAUAAUCAUUCUGAUCCAAAGAUGGUUGCAAUUGCUGCAAUUCAAUCGAUAACUGUGAUGUUUAUUCCUGUCUUCUCCGAAUUCAGCAUUUUCUCUAUAAAGCUUUUCCAAUUUGUCUGUUAUUACUGUUGUUGCUGCUCUGCAUAACACUUUUUCAAGUCUUGAACGUAGUAUUUGAUCUUGUUUUUAAACCCGCGGCAACGCGCGGAUACUAAUAGCUAGUGGAUUUUAUAAAGCAACUUUCACUUUGUCAUGUUAUCAGAUAGCCCAAUAUUGAUUUGUAGCCCUAAAGCUUUGAGAAUAAUUAUGGGCAUACCAGUCAUUGUGUGGUGAAAAAUGUAGUAAAUGUGAGCU
Malus domestica (apple) is the source of this 1713-nucleotide non-coding RNA. NCBI's taxonomy places the organism in Eukaryota, Viridiplantae, Streptophyta, Magnoliopsida, Rosales, Rosaceae. The record is from RefSeq and is a predicted model, not a curated record.